Molecule: long non-coding RNA, 231 nt
Filed under: Sorghum bicolor (sorghum)
Lineage: Eukaryota; Viridiplantae; Streptophyta; Magnoliopsida; Poales; Poaceae
Description: long non-coding RNA (SBIC_LNC018345)
Source: RNAcentral
CGGCCCUCCAACGGUGCGGUGCGGUGCUCUAAAAAAAAAGUACUAGUCCAACCACCUGUCUAAGCUCUCAAAAAAGAAAAGUACUAGUCCAACCACCUGUCUAAUCCGUGUGGAACGCCAGACUCACACUACUGUUGCUGUAGUGCCGUUUUCUCUCGUGUUGCUCCUUCUUCAAUUUCUUUCACGUGGAGAGGUGAUCAGUAGACUGACUCACCCUAUCACACCCCAGCA